Daphnia magna is the source of this 897-nucleotide long non-coding RNA. RefSeq lists it as uncharacterized. Lineage: Eukaryota; Metazoa; Arthropoda; Branchiopoda; Diplostraca; Daphniidae. The record is from RefSeq and is a predicted model, not a curated record. The transcript has 4 exons.
AAUACGAUACAAACAUUGCAGACGGCAGCCAUUGCUGGAUAGCGUUGAUGUGUAAGCACUUCCUUUAUGAAAAAGUCUUCGCUGAUUGGAAUUAUCAUGCCCUCAAAUACGGUGAAAUUGUUAAGAACACGCCGCUAAGAAGGGCAAAAAAAUAAAAAAUAUCUUGAUGUUGAGAUGGGCACAUAUAAUGAGUUGCAGAGGGGCACCUGAUACUACCUUCUCUACUAUGUCGCCCAGACACAAUCCUAAUAACGUUCAAUCAUCUCCAUCUUUCUACACAACCACACUGCUACAAGUAAGCCAUUCCAUUUUUUUUUACAGCGAAUACACAUGGUGAUGACAGAGGAAAGAAAACUUUAGACAUCGUGGGAGGCACCAGCUGAUUAUCAAGGAGACGUGAAGUUAAGGGCUACGUUUGUCCUAGAUGGCAAUAAAAAUAAUCCCAACGCUACCCAAUAGAGUUUUGCUAAAAAACUAGCCCACCGGGAUUGCAAUAAAAAAACGUGUUAUACAUGUGUUUUAUUUUUUAGACAAAGACUACAGCCCCAACAGCCUCUGUCCAGAUUCCGUCUAUUUAAAUAACCUGCGGUAAAAUCAAGGGUUUUGUUCAGUCUACAAGGAGGCAAUUUUGUCCAGUCCAGAAGAGUUUCUGAUAAGCCAUGGUUAUCUACGCUGUGAAGAGCCAACGUUGUACGUUAUGAAUUUGUAUUAUGGGCUACCAGUUCGUUGACAAGUGCUAACGUCGCUGUUGGCUUUUUAUGAAUCUAGUGGGUGAAAAUUGCGUGUUAGAAUGCACUUUACUUAAACGGCAGGGUCUCAUCAUUCCAGGACGGCCAUUCAUUUGAUAAAAGAUUGUACAAAAAAAAUUGAUUAAAUAAAGUAUUAUGUGAAACCGUA